Molecule: ribosomal RNA, 638 nt
Filed under: uncultured fungus
Lineage: Eukaryota; Fungi
Description: eukaryotic LSU rRNA
Rfam family: Eukaryotic large subunit ribosomal RNA
Source: RNAcentral
UACCCGCUGAACUUAAGCAUAUCAAUAAGCGGAGGAAAAGAAACCAACAGGGAUUGCCUUAGUAACGGCGAGUGAAGCGGCAAAAGCUCAGAUUUGAAAUCUGGUGUUAUUUCAACACCCGAAUUGUAAUCUGUAGAGGAGUUUUCGGAGUAUGACUUUGGUUAAAGUUCCUUGGAAAAGGGCAUCAUAGAGGGUGAGAAUCCUGUUUAUGACCAUAGUACUUCUCUAUAUGAAUCUCCUUCAAUGAGUCGAGUUGUUUGGGAAUGCAGCUCUAAAUGGGUGGUAAAUUCCAUCUAAAGCUAAAUAUUGGCAAGAGACCGAUAGCGCACAAGUAGAGUGAUCGAAAGAUGAAAAGAACUCUGAACAGAGAGUUAAAGAGUACGUGAAAUUGUUGAAAGGGAAGCACUUGUGACCAGACAAAUUUGCAAUUAAUCAGCCAUCAAUUUUGGUGGUGCACUUGAUUGUAAGUGGGUCAGCAUCAGUUAUAGUAGUGGGACAAAGACCUAAAGAAUGUGGCUCCUUUUUUUGAGGAGUGUUAUAGCUUUUGGUUUAAUACUGCUUGCUAUGACUGAGGAUAGCACUUCGUGUAAGGAUGCUGACAUAAUGGUCAUAAGUGACCCGUCUUGAAACACGGACCA